CCCGUCGCCUCUUUGUGUUCCCUCCUCUUCCUCCUGCAUGGGGAGCGUCCUUAAGCCGUCCCUUCCCCCCUUUCCUUCUCGCGCACUUAUAUAUUAUAAUGUGUCCCUUCCCCUUCCUUCCUUUGCUCCCCUUUCUUUUUCUUCUCUUGGAUUCCUUUGUCAUUCAGCCUUUUAAGCCGUUCCCCGUAUUUUCUUUUAAAAAAAGUUCCUUGUAUAUUUUGCGAUGUUUCCCUUAAGUUCUACUUUUGCAUCCGCUUUCGGCAACGGGGGCACGGGUGCUUUGACAUGAUGGUUUGCAGGAUGCCGCAAGCGGCUUUCGUUUCCCUUUAUUUUCCUCCCCUUUCGCACAGAGAGCGUCGGCGGGAAAUAAAAAAGAAAAAAACUUCCGCAAUAAUUUGGAAGAUACCGGUAAAAGUCCUUACCUUUGCAUCCGCUUUCCCGUUAGGGUCGGCACCAUCGAUCUUUGAAUAUAUUUACAUAAACAAUACAAGUAGUACAAGAGCAAGGCUUGUUUCCCGUAAAAUGCGGGGAUCGGUCUUGGGUAAAACAGAAGAACCGUCAAUGUCCCUUAUGUAUUUUAUACGUAUGGGGUCCGCAUUGGUAACUUCUUUAAAUUUUCGGAUGUCCUGAACAGAGCAAACGGGAUUCCUUUCCCUCCCCUGACAAGGGGUCGGGUCAUGUGAAUCCUGAUCGAUACUUUUACAAUGAAGAGUUUGAUCCUGGCUCAGGAUGAACGCUAGCUACAGGCUUAACACAUGCAAGUCGAGGGGCAGCAUGGGCUUAGCUUGCUAAGCCCGAUGGCGACCGGCGCACGGGUGAGUAACACGUAUCCAACCUUCCGGUAACUCCGGUAUAGCCUUUCGAAAGAAAGAUUAAUCCCGGAUAGUAUGGUGAUUCCGCAUGGUUUCUCCAUUAAAGGAUUCCGGUUACCGAUGGGGAUGCGUUCCAUUAGGCAGUUGGCGGGGUAACGGCCCACCAAACCUAGGAUGGAUAGGGGUUCUGAGAGGAAGGUCCCCCACAUUGGAACUGAGACACGGUCCAAACUCCUACGGGAGGCAGCAGUGAGGAAUAUUGGUCAAUGGGCGGAAGCCUGAACCAGCCAAGUAGCGUGAAGGAUGACUGCCCUAUGGGUUGUAAACUUCUUUUAUAAGGGAAUAAUUGUGGGUACGCGUACCCAUUUGCAUGUACCUUAUGAAUAAGGAUCGGCUAACUCCGUGCCAGCAGCCGCGGUAAUACGGAGGAUCCGAGCGUUAUCCGGAUUUAUUGGGUUUAAAGGGAGCGUAGGCGGGCGCUUAAGUCAGCUGUGAAAGUUUGGGGCUCAACCUUAAAAUUGCAGUUGAUACUGGGUGCCUUGAGUGCAGUAUAGGCAGGCGGAAUUCGUGGUGUAGCGGUGAAAUGCUUAGAUAUCACGAAGAACUCCUAUUGCGAAGGCAGCUUGCUGGAGUGUAACUGACGCUGAUGCUCGAAAGUGUGGGUAUCAAACAGGAUUAGAUACCCUGGUAGUCCACACAGUAAACGAUGAAUACUCGCUGUUUGCGAUAUACUGCAAGCGGCCAAGCGAAAGCGUUAAGUAUUCCACCUGGGGAGUACGCCGGCAACGGUGAAACUCAAAGGAAUUGACGGGGGCCCGCACAAGCGGAGGAACAUGUGGUUUAAUUCGAUGAUACGCGAGGAACCUUACCCGGGCUUGAAUUGCAACCGAAUUAUCCGGAAACGGGUAAGCCGCAAGGCGGUUGUGAAGGUGCUGCAUGGUUGUCGUCAGCUCGUGCCGUGAGGUGUCGGCUUAAGUGCCAUAACGAGCGCAACCCUUAUCCACAGUUACCAUCAGGUGAUGCUGGGGACUCUGUGGAGACUGCCGUCGUAAGAUGCGAGGAAGGGGGGGAUGACGUCAAAUCAGCACGGCCCUUACGUCCGGGGCUACACACGUGUUACAAUGGGGGGUACAGCAGGCAGCUCGGCGGCGACGCCCGGCCAAUCCCUAAAUCCCCUCUCAGUUCGGACUGGAGUCUGCAACCCGACUCCACGAAGCUGGAUUCGCUAGUAAUCGCGCAUCAGCCACGGCGCGGUGAAUACGUUCCCGGGCCUUGUACACACCGCCCGUCAAGCCAUGAAAGCCGGGGGUACCUGAAGUGCGUAACCGUCCAGGAGCGCCCUAGGGUAAAACCGGUGAUUGGGGCUAAGUCGUAACAAGGUAGCCGUACCGGAAGGUGCGGCUGGAACACCUCCUUUCU
This 2231-nucleotide ribosomal RNA is filed under the name Prevotella heparinolytica. Its description in RNAcentral is "bacterial SSU rRNA". The stretch from base 702 to 2229 matches the Rfam family "Bacterial small subunit ribosomal RNA". The record is from RNAcentral. Lineage: Bacteria; Pseudomonadati; Bacteroidota; Bacteroidia; Bacteroidales; Prevotellaceae.